This 248-nucleotide ribosomal RNA is filed under the name uncultured Synergistaceae bacterium. RNAcentral describes it as "partial 16S ribosomal RNA". It matches the Rfam family "Bacterial small subunit ribosomal RNA", at positions 1136 to 1382 of the family's 1533-position model. Lineage: Bacteria; Thermotogati; Synergistota; Synergistia; Synergistales; Synergistaceae. The record is from RNAcentral.
CACUCUGGAAGGACUGCCAUCGACAAGAUGGAGGAAGGUGGGGAUGACGUCAAGUCAUCAUGGCCCUUAUGUCCAGGGCGACACACGUGCUACAAUGGCCGGCACAACGGGAAGCGAGUUCGCGAGGACAAGCGGAUCCCUUAAAGCCGGUCGCAGUUCGGAUUGAAGUCUGCAACUCGACUUCAUGAAGCUGGAAUCGCUAGUAAUCGUGGAUCAGCCAAGCCGCGGUGAAUACGUUCCCGGGCCUU